GUAAUUUUAAGAACUACUUUUGUAUAAAAGGGUUAGUCCCGUUGAUUGAAUAAAAAAAUUGCAGAGGAAUCAUAUUCUAACGUUGCUGACCAAAGUGGCGAUGAAAACAAUGACGCCAAAACAAGUUGUAAAAUUGAUCAAAACUCAUUGCCUUCUACGUCAACAGCGGAUUUAAAACAUUCGCAAAGAAAACAAAAAGCAAGUAAAUUUCAAGAUGACAAUAACACUGAUAGCGACAAUGGUAACAAACUAGACAAGGGUGAUUCAGAGCUUCUGCAUAAAAAUAAAAGAAUAAGAACUACUCUGCAACAUUCUCAAUCAAGUAAUGAAUUUAGUCAUUUAUUAUUCUACACUGAUGGCGAAGGAUUCUCUCUCUGGCUUUCGUCGUGAGCAGACGUGUCUGUUUCUCGUUCGUUAAUUUUGAACUUGCUUGUGCUGUUUGUGCCGGUAGUGCUGUUUUGUACAUUUAAACUAAGAUCUUUCUUUGUUUCUUUACCGGAUAAUCGAACCGAGUGUUGGUGCUCCGUUUCUCAAGUGGCAUUUUGCAUUUUGUUGCAUCUGAGUGGUUUCAUAAGGCAUAUGUGAUAAGGUGACUAUGUAACUGUUUUUUUUCUUAUCGCAAGUAUGGAUAAAUUACAGGAUGCCAUCGGUGUUUUAACAAGUGCUAUUGAUAAUCUCACUAAGUCUCACAAUGACCUGAAAAGGGAG
Molecule: long non-coding RNA, 708 nt
Organism: Leptopilina boulardi
Lineage: Eukaryota; Metazoa; Arthropoda; Insecta; Hymenoptera; Figitidae
Exons: 4
Source: RefSeq, a predicted model, not a curated record